CCUACGGGUGGCAGCAGUGAGGAAUAUUGGUCAAUGGGCGAGAGCCUGAACCAGCCAAGUCGCGUGAGGGAGUACUGCCCUAUGGGUUGUAAACCUCUUUUGUCGGGGAGCAAAAGCCGGACGUGUCCGGCUGUGAGAGUACCCGAAGAAAAAGCAUCGGCAAACUCCGUGCCAGCAGCCGCGGUAAUACGGAGGAUGCGAGCGUUAUCCGGAGUUAUUGGGUUUAAGGGGUGCGCAGGCGGAUUUUUAAGUCAGCGGUAAAAUCGUGGGGCUCAACCCCAUCCAGCCGGUGAAACUGGGGAUCUAGAGUGUGCGAGAGGUAUGCGGAAUGCGUGGUGUAGCGGUGAAAUGCAUAGAUAUCACGCAGAACCCCGAUUGCGAAGGCAGCAUACCGGUGCACAACUGACGCUCAGGCACGAAAGCGUGGGUAUCGAACAGGAUUAGAUACCCGGUAGUC
This 457-nucleotide ribosomal RNA is filed under the name uncultured bacterium. Its description in RNAcentral is "partial 16S ribosomal RNA". It matches the Rfam family "Bacterial small subunit ribosomal RNA", at positions 338 to 795 of the family's 1533-position model. The record is from RNAcentral.